CGCGCGGCGCAUGCGCGCUGCGCCCCGAGCCGCGAACCCCCCGGCAGAGGCGGGGAGGCGGGAGCAGGGAGGAGGAGGGGGAUGCGCCCGGCGGCCGCCGCCGCCAUAUUGCGGAGCUGUCAGCGCCCGCCGCGCUCGGCGCCUCGUCCCCGGCGGCGCCGCCAGCAGCACCGGGGCGGCCCCGCAGCGGCGGGCGGGGGCUGCGGGGGUGGGCAGCGAGCGCCCUGAGCCCUGCGGAGCCGGCAGCGCCUCGCCCCCAGACCCCCCCGCCGGCCGGGGGAGCGCGGCCCCAGUCGUGUAAUACAAGGAGAAACAAAUAGUGCAGUGGCCCAACCAGGGAGUGAACACCUUGAGAACAGUUGGACUCAAGAACUCGAGCCAGCUCACGUGGAGUCUGAUGCGAAUGGCAAGUUCAUGUUAGCAGUUUUAUUUUGUGGAACUGCUGCUAAGAGCCUUACCUGCUUUAUUCAGAAAACACAAUACCUGCUCCUGGAAUGGGUUGUAACCGGGAUUUCACUUGUGACAGUCACCUACCAGUGGUAUUUCCAUGGAGAAGUUUAUUGAAACAGCAGAGUACUUGUACUGGCCACGUUUUUGCAAUUUCCAUUUUUACUCAUUUAUCAGAAGUGUGUGGGAAGAGUGGACGUUGUCAUUGUAGAACUCUUCAAAAUCUUACAGUUAUUUCGUCUGCCCCAGUUGUGAGCACUUUAAAAUGUGAAGAUGGGAGUUUAUAUUCAGAUUAGUAUGUAAGUUAUACAGCACAUCUGUCACGGACUGGUAAAACUGCAAGCAUUGCAUAAAUACUCCUUGGCUGGGCUGUGUUCCUUUCUAUUUGACUGCGGUGCUGCCAAGUUCCCAUUUGUGCUUUUGAAGUUACCAGCAUCUCCCGUUUGGAAGAAACUCUUGCCUCUUCAAAAUAUAUUUAGCUAUAAAUACAUUUAAGGCAUAACAAUUGUACUGGCUGCAUGGGAAUUAUCUAUCAGAGACCCAGGAAGCUCGUCUUUAGUAUCUUGGGGGGAAGAAUUGGGAGGAAAUGGUGUUCUUAGGAAGGUGUAGGUACAGUACUCAAAAUGGUGGUAUGGAGAACUGUCAUACCCAGCAAUGGUCACGUCUCUAUUUUAUUGUUACAGAACUCAGCUUUUUCUCCCCUUUUUUGUGAGAUAGCUUGCAGGUUUGCCUACCUCCGAGACAAUCGCGCAGACCGCAACUCCUCGGCUGUCUGAAAAAGAUGUAUGCGGAGGCAGAGCCUGUGGUGAAUUAACUUCUUUAUUGGACUUCUGCAAGCGUGUCAUUAGGGAGCUGUUAGGCUUAGUGGAAAAGAUGAUUGCCCUGCAGGUACUCGCAGGCAGCUUUGGAGUGAAAUGUUCUGGGAGAAAGCUGAGACCAGUCAGUCAGGUACAGUGGCCUGUACGUUUCCUGCUGCUGCCUCUGAAGCUAUUAGGCACCUCAAAAAUUGGAACGGUACAAGACUGAAAAGAAAAAGUGCGUUUAGUUUUAAGAAGUUCCUUCUUUGGAUGCAGCCCAGAGAGCCAACCAUACCCUGGGCUGCAUCAAAAGCAGCGAGGCCAACAGGGUGAGGGAGGGGAUUGUCCCCCUCUGCUCUGCUCUUGUGAGACCCCACCUGGAGCCGUGCGUUCAGCUCUGGGCACAAGGACAGGGACCUG
RNAcentral lists this long non-coding RNA (1664 nucleotides) under Anas platyrhynchos (mallard). RNAcentral describes it as "lncRNA (ENSAPLG00020011249.1)". The record is from RNAcentral. Lineage: Eukaryota; Metazoa; Chordata; Aves; Anseriformes; Anatidae.